AUGGCGCACCUCUACAUCGAGUGCCCUUUUGCACGUCAGGUCUGGCACGAAAUCCUUGCCUGGCUACAACUGACUUGCCGUCCACCCGAGUCUGGUAACACCUUCAGGAGCUGGUGGGAUCUUACCAAGCAGGCCACCCCAAAACUGCUGCGCAAAGGACUUGCAUCAACUGCCCUGUUGACCCUGGAUGAUCUGGAACAGAGGAACGCGUGUGUUUUCGAUGGCGACCUCCUGUCUGCCCGGAACACCAUUGCGCGCAUCAAAGAGGAAGCAACGCUUUGGUCCAAAGCUGGAGCCCUCGGCCUUCGAAUGUUUCUUCCGACCACCUGGAACGUUCACUGA
This 342-nucleotide ribosomal RNA is filed under the name Triticum aestivum (bread wheat). RNAcentral describes it as "partial small subunit ribosomal RNA". Lineage: Eukaryota; Viridiplantae; Streptophyta; Magnoliopsida; Poales; Poaceae. The record is from RNAcentral.